This 147-nucleotide small RNA is filed under the name uncultured Selenomonas sp. Its description in RNAcentral is "ydaO/yuaA leader". It matches the Rfam family "c-di-AMP riboswitch aptamer (ydaO/yuaA leader)". Rfam says of the family: This family represents a conserved RNA structure found upstream of the ydaO and yuaA genes in Bacillus subtilis and related genes in other bacteria. The ydaO/yuaA element is thought to act as a genetic "off" switch for the ydaO and yuaA genes in its native state. The record is from RNAcentral. Lineage: Bacteria; Bacillati; Bacillota; Negativicutes; Selenomonadales; Selenomonadaceae.
GGAAGCCGAAUCCAGCCCAGGAGCGGGGGAACCAAAUGAUUUUGGGGUGAACGCUUUCACCGGGGCGCCGAAACGCAACGGUGAGAGCGCGGGUGGUCUUCUCUACCCGAACCCGGCAGCUAACCUCGUAGGCGAAUAGAGAGAGGA